AUACUCUGGUUUCUCUUCAGAUCGAAUAAGUCUUUCACCUUUUACUAAAGAUUUCCAUGGAGAGGUACAGUCAUGAGCUUUCAUCAUUUUUUUUUAAGGCUCUACCGCAUGCAGAGUU
Molecule: small nuclear RNA, 118 nt
Organism: Bombina bombina (fire-bellied toad)
Lineage: Eukaryota; Metazoa; Chordata; Amphibia; Anura; Bombinatoridae
Product: U5 spliceosomal RNA
Exons: 1
Source: RefSeq, a predicted model, not a curated record